CCGAGUUGCAACACUCACCAAACCCACUGCAAACUUACCUAUUUUGGCGACUCCGGCAGGCGGCCCCAGGGCGGGGCCUCAGCCUUUUCAGGCGCCUGCCGAAGCCGCCACAACUUUACUCUAAAAAUUACCUCUGAGUCCUAAGACAAAAUAUAUCA
This 158-nucleotide unclassified non-coding RNA is filed under the name uncultured Sordariomycetes. RNAcentral describes it as "sequence contains ITS1". Lineage: Eukaryota; Fungi; Ascomycota; Sordariomycetes. The record is from RNAcentral.